UACGAGGGGUGCAAGCGUUGCUCGGAAUUAUUGGGCGUAAAGGGUAGGUAGGUGGUCUCAUUUGUCUGGGGUGAAAGCCUUGAGCUUAACUCAAGAAGUGCCCUAGAAACGGUGAGACUGGAGUCCUGGAGAGGGUCGUGGAAUUCCCGGUGUAGCGGUGAAAUGCGUAGAGAUCGGGAGGAACACCAGCGGCGAAGGCGGCGACCUGGACAGGUACUGACACUCAACUACGAAAGCGUGGGGAGCAAACAGG
RNAcentral lists this ribosomal RNA (253 nucleotides) under uncultured bacterium. RNAcentral's name for it is "partial 16S ribosomal RNA". It matches the Rfam family "Bacterial small subunit ribosomal RNA", at positions 524 to 776 of the family's 1533-position model. The record is from RNAcentral.